GGAGAGCCUAUUCCUUGAGGUCAUACAAUAAUGAUAUUCAGGAAUUCGUAAUAUAGUUAAUUCAAAUAAUAACUGUUCUAGAAACUUACAGGGUUUAAAUGUGGCUUAAAACAGGAGAAAAGAGGUUAAAUUUUCAAAUAAAAGGAAAAGAUGAAUAUGAACUGUUAAAGGCUGCAAUUUUGCAUACUGAUGGACAGGCAGAAAAUGGUGAAUAAGUUAAAGAGAUGGAAGAACCCCUGAGCAUUGUGGUAGGAUCACUAGGCAUUAUAUCUAUGACCCUGUCAGCAUAUACAUAAAUGAGAAUGCAUUGAGAUCCAAGCCACAUCCUCAUUAGAAGCUAAAAUUACAGCUUCAUUUUGUCCAUUUUAGAAUAUAUAGUCAUGCAUAUAGACCAUCCUUGAUUAUACAAGAGACAGACUAGCAGAUCUAGGAAAUUUGGUGGACAAGCGAA
RNAcentral lists this unclassified non-coding RNA (451 nucleotides) under Hevea brasiliensis (rubber tree). The record is from RNAcentral. Lineage: Eukaryota; Viridiplantae; Streptophyta; Magnoliopsida; Malpighiales; Euphorbiaceae.